UGAGGAAUAUUGGUCAAUGGGCGAGAGCCUGAACCAGCCAAGUAGCGUGCAGGAUGACGGCCCUAUGGGUUGUAAACUGCUUUUAUGUGGGGAUAAAGUGCGUGACGUGUCAUGCAUUGCAGGUACCACAUGAAUAAGGACCGGCUAAUUCCGUGCCAGCAGCCGCGGUAAUACGGAAGGUCCGGGCGUUAUCCGGAUUUAUUGGGUUUAAAGGGGGCGUAGGCUGUCUAUUAAGCGUGUUGUGAAAUUUACCGGCUCAACCGGUGGCUUGCAGCGCGAACUGGUCGACUUGAGUAUGCAGGAAGUAGGCGGAAUUCAUGGUGUAGCGGUGAAAUGCUUAGAUAUCAUGACGAACUCCGAUUGCGCAGGCAGCUUACUGUAGCAUAACUGACGCUGAUGCUCGAAAGUGCGGGUAUCAAACAGG
Molecule: ribosomal RNA, 424 nt
Filed under: Fusobacteriota bacterium
Lineage: Bacteria; Fusobacteriati; Fusobacteriota
Description: Fusobacteria bacterium partial 16S ribosomal RNA
Rfam family: Bacterial small subunit ribosomal RNA
Source: RNAcentral